This 253-nucleotide ribosomal RNA is filed under the name uncultured bacterium. RNAcentral describes it as "partial 16S ribosomal RNA". It matches the Rfam family "Bacterial small subunit ribosomal RNA", at positions 524 to 776 of the family's 1533-position model. The record is from RNAcentral.
UACGUAGGUGGCAAGCGUUGUCCGGAUUUACUGGGUGUAAAGGGGGCGCAGACGGCGAUGCAAGCCAGGAGUGAAAGCCCGGGGCCCAACCCCGGGACUGCUCUUGGAACUGCGUGGCUGGAGUGCAGGAGGGGCAGGCGGAAUUCCUGGUGUAGCGGUGAAAUGCGUAGAUAUCAGGAGGAACACCGGUGGCGAAGGCGGCCUGCUGGACUGCAACUGACGUUGAGGCCCGAAAGCGUGGGGAGCAAACAGG